This 1255-nucleotide ribosomal RNA is filed under the name metagenome. RNAcentral describes it as "bacterial LSU rRNA". It matches the Rfam family "Bacterial large subunit ribosomal RNA", at positions 1691 to 2925 of the family's 2925-position model. The record is from RNAcentral.
UGAGUGAUUUACGGAGAAGGAACUCGGCAAAAUGACCCCGUAACUUCGGGAUAAGGGGUGCCGGCAGUAUGUGACCCGUCAAGGGGAGCAGAGACCGGCCGCAGUGAAUCGUCCCAAGCGACUGUUUAGCAAAAACACAGGUGUCUGCAAAGGCGUUUUCCAAGCCGACGUAUAGACACUGACGCCUGCCCGGUGCCGGAAGGUUAAGGUAAGUGGUCAGCCGCAAGGCGAAGCUACGAACCGAAGCCCCGGUAAACGGCGGCCGUAACAAUAACGGUCCUAAGGUAGCGAAAUUCCUUGUCGGGUAAGUUCCGACCUGCAUGAAUGGCGUAACGACUUGGGAGCUGUCUCCUCCGUAAGCUCGGCGAAAUAGCAGCAUCGGUGAGGAUUCCGAUUACCCGCGACAGGACAAAAAGACCCCAUGCACCUUUACUACAACCUGUCAUUGAUCGUCGAUAUACACUGCGUAGCAUAGGUGGGAGCCGUUGAGUCCCGGUUUUCGGAUCGGGUGGAGGCAACAGUGAAAUACCACCCUUUGUUUAUUAACGAUCUCACUCGGCCGGCAACACCAGCGAGGACCGUGGCUGGUGGGUAGUUUGACUGGGGCGGUCGCCUCCCAAAAAGUACCGGAGGCGCGCGAUGGUGGGCUCAGUGCGGUCGGUAAUCGCACGUUGAGUGUAUACGCAAAAGCCCGCCUGACUGCGAGCGCGACGGCGCGAGCAGGGACGAAAGUCGGCGUAAGUGAUCCGGUGAUCCCGUAUGGAUGGGUCAUCGCUCAUCGGAUAAAAGGUACGCUGGGGAUAACAGGCUUAUCGCGCCCGAGAGUUCACAUCGACGGCGCGGUUUGGCACCUCGAUGUCGGCUUGUCACAUCCUGGGGCUGGAGAAGGUCCCAAGGGUCCGGCUGUUCGCCGGUUAAAGUGGCACAUGAGCUGGGUUCAGAACGUCGUGAGACAGUUCGGUCUGUAUCCGUCGUGGGCGUGGGAACGUUGAGGGAUCAGGACUCUAGUACGAGAGGACCGAGUCGUAGUGACCUCCCGUGUACGGGCUGUUCCGCCAGGGGCAGCGCCCGGUAGCGAUGUCACGCAGGGAUAACCGCUGAAAGCAUCUAAGUGGGAAACCCGUCCCAAGAUGAACGUUCCUGGAGCUUAAGCUCCCUUAAGGGCCCUGGGAGACCACCAGGUUGAUAGGCCGCAGGUGUACGGCGCGCGAGCGCUUCAGCCGAGCGGUACUAAUCGCCCGUGAAGUUUGAUCUC